Lupinus angustifolius (narrow-leaved blue lupine) is the source of this 113-nucleotide non-coding RNA. NCBI's taxonomy places the organism in Eukaryota, Viridiplantae, Streptophyta, Magnoliopsida, Fabales, Fabaceae. The record is from Rfam.
AAGUGUUAAGAUUUUGACUGCUAUGAUCCUAUAAUAACUUCAUAGUUAAGCGUGUUUGGGCGAGAGUAGUACUAAGAUGGGUGACCUAGUAGGAAGUCCUCUUGUUGCACCUC